GAUGAACGCUGGCGGCGUGCCUAAUACAUGCAAGUCGAGCGAACAGACGAGGAGCUUGCUCCUCUGACGUUAGCGGCGGACGGGUGAGUAACACGUGGAUAACCUACCUAUAAGACUGGGAUAACUUCGGGAAACCGGAGCUAAUACCGGAUAAUAUAUUGAACCGCAUGGUUCAAUAGUGAAAGACGGUUUUGCUGUCACUUAUAGAUGGAUCCGCGCCGCAUUAGCUAGUUGGUAAGGUAACGGCUUACCAAGGCAACGAUGCGUAGCCGACCUGAGAGGGUGAUCGGCCCCACUGGAACUGAGCCACGGUCCAGACUCCUACGGGAGGCAGCAGUAGGGAAUCUUCCGCAAUGGGCGAAAGCCUGCCGGAGCAACGCCGCGUGAGUGAUGAAGGUCUUCGGAUCGUAAAACUCUGUUAUUCGGGAAGAACAAAUGUGUAAGUAACUAUGCACGUCUUGACGGUACCUAAUCAGAAAGCCACGGCUAACUACGUG
Molecule: ribosomal RNA, 497 nt
Filed under: uncultured bacterium
Lineage: Bacteria
Description: partial 16S ribosomal RNA
Rfam family: Bacterial small subunit ribosomal RNA
Source: RNAcentral